AACGAACGCUGGCGGCAUGCCUAACACGUGCAAGUCGAACGAGACCUUCGGGUCUAGUGGCGCACGGGUGCGUAACGCGUGGGAACCUGCCCUUAGGUUCGGAAUAACUCCCCGAAAGGGGUGCUAAUACCGGAUAAUGUCUUCGGACCAAAGAUUUAUCGCCUUUGGAUGGGCCCGGGUGGGUUUAGCGGGUUGGUAGGGUAAAAGCCUACCAAGGCGACGAUCAAUAGCUGGUCGGAGAGGAUGAUCAGCCACACUGGGACUGAGACACGGCCCAGACUCCUACGGGAGGCAGCAGUGGGGAAUAUUGGACAAUGGGCGAAAGCCUGAUCCAGCAAGGCCGCGUGAGUGAUGAAGGCCUUAGGGUUGUAAAGCUCUUUUACCCGGGAUGAUAAUGACAGUACCGGGAGAAUAAGCUCCGGCUAACUCCGU
RNAcentral lists this ribosomal RNA (432 nucleotides) under uncultured bacterium. Its description in RNAcentral is "partial 16S ribosomal RNA". It matches the Rfam family "Bacterial small subunit ribosomal RNA", at positions 29 to 506 of the family's 1533-position model. The record is from RNAcentral.